This 23-nucleotide non-coding RNA is filed under the name Arabidopsis thaliana (thale cress). The record is from RNAcentral. Lineage: Eukaryota; Viridiplantae; Streptophyta; Magnoliopsida; Brassicales; Brassicaceae.
GGUUAGACAGUUCGGUUAGACGC